RNAcentral lists this ribosomal RNA (497 nucleotides) under uncultured bacterium. RNAcentral describes it as "partial 16S ribosomal RNA". It matches the Rfam family "Bacterial small subunit ribosomal RNA", at positions 28 to 507 of the family's 1533-position model. The record is from RNAcentral.
GAUGAACGCUGGCGGCGUGCCUAAUACAUGCAAGUCGAGCGAACAGACGAGGAGCUUGCUCCUCUGACGUUAGCGGCGGACGGGUGAGUAACACGUGGAUAACCUACCUAUAAGACUGGGAUAACUUCGGGAAACCGGAGCUAAUACCGGAUAAUAUAUUGAACAGCAUGGUUCAAUAGUGAAAGACGGUUUUGCUGUCACUUAUAGAUGGAUCCGCGCCGCAUUAGCUAGUUGGUAAGGUAGCGGCUUACCAAGGCAACGAUGCGUAGCCGACCUGAGAGGGUGAUCGGCCACACUGGAACUGAGACACGGUCCAGACUCCUACGGGAGGCAGCAGUAGGGAAUCUUCCGCAAUGGGCGAAAGCCUGACGGAGCAACGCCGCGUGAGUGAUGAAGGUCUUCGGAUCGUAAAACUCUGUUAUUAGGGAAGAACAAAUGUGUAAGUAACUAUGCACGUCUUGACGGUACCUAAUCAGAAAGCCACGGCUAACUACGUG